Molecule: long non-coding RNA, 153 nt
Organism: Thalassophryne amazonica
Lineage: Eukaryota; Metazoa; Chordata; Actinopteri; Batrachoidiformes; Batrachoididae
Exons: 3
Source: RefSeq, a predicted model, not a curated record
AGUGUUUCCCCACAUCUCAACACAAUAUGUCAUGUAUGGAGUUAUCAAGGAGUGAUAUAAAGUGAGUAACCCUUUUUGUGAAGGUAUGUCUUUAGUUUUAUACAAAAUGGGGAUGGAUUUUGACAUUUUCGAUUUGAUAUAAUUUAUAUGUGU